UGGACUAAUACGGCUACAAUCUCUACUUGAACACUAUGAGGGGAGAUAGAGAGAUAGAUAUUUUUUUUUUUUAUUGGAGUAGCCCCCAAAAUAUUGGGACAUAUAAAAAAAAAAAAAACCCUCUGUUCCGCAGAGUAGCUGUUGACAUAGUUGCGCAGGCACUUUGUUGACUCUAGAGAACCUUGGGCCAAUCACACAUCCCUGUAACGGCGACUUUGCAUUUGGAUGUCAUCCAUAUCAACUUUCGAUGCCAGUUUCUGCACCUACCAUGGUGACCACGGGUAACGGGGAAUCAGGGUUCCAUUCCGUACAGGGAAAUGGCUACCACAUGCAAGGAAGGCAGCAGGCGCGCAAAUGACCCACUCCCGACGCGGAAGUUAGUGA
This is a non-coding RNA of Pelobates cultripes (western spadefoot toad), 384 nucleotides long. The record is from the annotation of a GenBank genome assembly. NCBI's taxonomy places the organism in Eukaryota, Metazoa, Chordata, Amphibia, Anura, Pelobatidae.